Hordeum vulgare subsp. vulgare (domesticated barley) is the source of this 696-nucleotide long non-coding RNA. RefSeq lists it as uncharacterized. NCBI's taxonomy places the organism in Eukaryota, Viridiplantae, Streptophyta, Magnoliopsida, Poales, Poaceae. The record is from RefSeq and is a predicted model, not a curated record. The transcript is spliced from 2 exons.
GCUUUUUGUAUGGUUUCGCCUAAGCAACAAGACACCAUUUUGAGCGGUGCAAGCAUCAUAACAUGUCUCGUAGCAACAACGCACGCACUUUCCAACAACCUCUGGCGUUCUUUAUCACGUCUCAAAGCGUCCUUUUUUCCAGUGUACAAACACAUCACUACAUCAUCAAGAUAUACACGCGACUGCAUCGUCCACUAAAAUACAAAAAAUUCUGGUCUACUGCAAGGUUUCAUCAUCAUAUCUAUAAGAAGGGACCGAUGACACUACUAGCUUCACCUAUUUGGAUCCCUUCCUUCUCUCCUUGGGUGUUCAUCCCUGGACGCAUGGACGUCCACAAGGUGAAGAUGCGUGGCUUGUGCUUGGUGUUGCUCAUGGCGGCUCUGUUGUUGCUUCCCGGAUCCGAAGGCAAAAUUUGCAAGGAGUAUAGCGAAACCUACACCGUUUCUGAAUGCACGAGCGGACCAUGUGCCGAGCACUGCCACGACGAGGGCUUCGUUGAAGGGGAGUGUAAAGCGAGUGAGUUUGAACUUGAUGAUUACCGAUUCUGUCUCUGCAAGAAACACUGUUGAUGAUGCUUCAGGAUGUCAAGCAAAAAGGUAAUAAGAUCCUGCGGCAGAGCUGUCUGUAACAUCCCAAAACAUUCCGAUUUUGGAAUGCUAAAUAAAUACAUGACUAAAUAUAAAUGUUUCCAUUCUA